GAUGAAGAACGCAGCGAAAUGCGAUAAGUAAUGUGAAUUGCAGAAUUCAGUGAAUCAUCGAAUCUUUGAACGCACAUUGCGCCCGCCAGUAUUCUGGCGGGCAUGCCUGUUCGAGCGUCAUUUCAACCAUCAAGCCCCCGGCUUGUGUUGGGGACCUGCGGCUGCCGCAGGCCCUGAAAACCAGUGGCGGGCUCGCUGUCACACCGAGCGUAGUAGAUUUUCAUCUCGUUCAGGGCGUGCUGCGGGUUCCGGCCGUAAAAAGCCUUAUUUACCCAAGGUUGACCUCGGAUCAGGUAGGAAGACCCGCUGAACUUAAGCAUAUCAAUAAGCGGAGGA
RNAcentral lists this unclassified non-coding RNA (336 nucleotides) under soil metagenome. Its description in RNAcentral is "partial contains 5.8S ribosomal RNA, internal transcribed spacer 2, and large subunit ribosomal RNA". The stretch from base 1 to 120 matches the Rfam family "5.8S ribosomal RNA", at positions 35 to 154 of the family's 154-position model. The record is from RNAcentral.